RNAcentral lists this ribosomal RNA (484 nucleotides) under uncultured bacterium. Its description in RNAcentral is "partial 16S ribosomal RNA". It matches the Rfam family "Bacterial small subunit ribosomal RNA", at positions 29 to 507 of the family's 1533-position model. The record is from RNAcentral.
AUUGAACGCUGGCGGCAUGCUUUACACGUGCAAGUCGAACGGCAGCGCGGGCUUCGGCCUGGCGGCGAGUGGCGAACGGGUGAGUAAUACAUCGGAACGUGCCCAGUAGUGGGGGAUAGCUCGGCGAAAGCCGGAUUAAUACCGCAUACGACCUGAGGGUGAAAGCGGGGGAUCUUCGGACCUCGCGCUAUUGGAGCGGCCGAUGGCAGAUUAGCUAGUUGGUGGGGUAAAGGCCUACCAAGGCGACGAUCUGUAGCUGGUCUGAGAGGACGACCAGCCACACUGGGACUGAGACACGGCCCAGACUCCUACGGGAGGCAGCAGUAGGGAAUUUUGGACAAUGGGCGAAAGCCUGAUCCAGCAAUGCCGCGUGUGUGAUGAAGGCCUUCGGGUUGUAAAGCACUUUUGGCGGGAACGAAAAGGACUGUGCCAAUACCACGGUUCGAUGACGGUACCCGCAGAAUAAGCACCGGCUAACUACGUG